AAUUCGAUUGAGUUUGAUCCUGGCUCAGAACGAACGCUGGCGGCAGGCCUAACACAUGCAAGUCGAACGCCGUAGCAAUACGGAGUGGCAGACGGGUGAGUAACGCGUGGGAACAUACCCCUCGGUUCGGAAUAACUCAGGGAAACUUGAGCUAAUACCGGAUAAGUCCGAGGUUUUAAUCGACCUUGGAGAAAAAUUUAUCGCCGGAGGAUUGGCCCGCGUCUGAUUAGCUUGUUGGUGAGGUAAUGGCUCACCAAGGCGACGAUCAGUAGCUGGUCUGAGAGGAUGAUCAGCCACAUUGGGACUGAGACACGGCCCAAACUCCUACGGGAGGCAGCAGUGGGGAAUAUUGGACAAUGGGCGAAAGCCUGAUCCAGCCAUGCCGCGUGAGUGAUGAAGGCCUUAGGGUUGUAAAGCUCUUUUACCCGGGAAGAUAAUGACGGUACCGGGAGAAUAAGCCCCGGCUAACUUCGUGCCAGCAGCCGCGGUAAUACGAAGGGGGCUAGCGUUGUUCGGAAUUACUGGGCGUAAAGCGCACGUAGGCGGAUCUUUAAGUCAGGGGUGAAAUCCCGAGGCUCAACCUCGGAACUGCCUUUGAUACUGGGGAUAUCGAGUCCGGGAGAGGUGAGUGGAACUGCGAGUGUAGAGGUGAAAUUCGUAGAUAUUCG
This 668-nucleotide ribosomal RNA is filed under the name uncultured bacterium. RNAcentral's name for it is "bacterial SSU rRNA". It matches the Rfam family "Bacterial small subunit ribosomal RNA", at positions 1 to 700 of the family's 1533-position model. The record is from RNAcentral.